Molecule: ribosomal RNA, 493 nt
Filed under: uncultured bacterium
Lineage: Bacteria
Description: partial 16S ribosomal RNA
Rfam family: Bacterial small subunit ribosomal RNA
Source: RNAcentral
AUUGAACGCUGGCGGCAUGCUUUACACAUGCAAGUCGAACGGUAACAGGUUAAGCUGACGAGUGGCGAACGGGUGAGUAAUGCAUCGGAACGUGCCCGAUCGUGGGGGAUAACGCAGCGAAAGCUGCGCUAAUACCGCAUACGAUCUGAGGAUGAAAGCGGGGGACCGUAAGGCCUCGCGCGAUCGGAGCGGCCGAUGUCAGAUUAGGUAGUUGGUGGGGUAAAGGCUCACUAAGCCAACGAUCUGUAGCUGGUCUGAGAGGACGACCAGCCGCACUGGGACUGAAACACGGCCCAGACUCCUACGGGAGGCAGCAGUGGGGAAUUUUGGACAAUGGGCGAAAGCCUGAUCCAGCAAUGCCGCGUGCAGGAAGAAGGCCUUCGGGUUGUAAACUGCUUUUGUACGGAGCGAAAAGGUCUCCUCUAAUACAGGGGGCUCAUGACGGUACCGUAAGAAUAAGCACCGGCUAACUACGUGCCAGCAGCCGCCGUAA